This 253-nucleotide ribosomal RNA is filed under the name uncultured bacterium. Its description in RNAcentral is "partial 16S ribosomal RNA". It matches the Rfam family "Bacterial small subunit ribosomal RNA", at positions 524 to 776 of the family's 1533-position model. The record is from RNAcentral.
UACGUAGGGAGCAAGCGUUGUCCGGAAUCAUUGGGCGUAAAGCGCGCGUAGGUGGCUUCGUAAGUCCGUUGUGAAAGUCAAAGGCUCAACCUUUGAAAGCCGAUGGAUACUGUGAAGCUAGAGUGCGGAAGAGGCGAGUGGAAUUCCUGGUGUAGCGGUGGAAUGCGCAGAUAUCAGGAGGAACACCAAUAGCGAAGGCAGCUCGCUGGGACGUUACUGACACUGAGGCGCGAAAGCGUGGGGAGCGAACAGG